GACGAACGCUGGCGGCGCGCCUAACACAUGCAAGUCGAACGGAGCUGAGAGAAGCUUGCUUUUCUUAGCUUAGUGGCGAACGGGUGAGUAACGCGUGAGUAACCUGCCCUGGAGUGGGGGACAACAGUUGGAAACGACUGCUAAUACCGCAUAAGCCCACGAUCCGGCAUCGGAUUGAGGGAAAAGGAUUUAUUCGCUUCAGGAUGGACUCGCGUCCAAUUAGCUAGUUGGUGAGGUAACGGCCCACCAAGGCGACGAUUGGUAGCCGGACUGAGAGGUUGAACGGCCACAUUGGGACUGAGACACGGCCCAGACUCCUACGGGAGGCAGCAGUGGGGGAUAUUGCACAGUGGGGGAAACCCUGAUGCAGCGACGCCGCGUGGAGGAAGAAGGUUUUCGGAUUGUAAACUCCUGUCGUUAGGGACGAUAAUGACGGUACCUAACAAGAAAGCACCGGCUAACUACGUG
RNAcentral lists this ribosomal RNA (468 nucleotides) under uncultured bacterium. RNAcentral's name for it is "partial 16S ribosomal RNA". It matches the Rfam family "Bacterial small subunit ribosomal RNA", at positions 28 to 507 of the family's 1533-position model. The record is from RNAcentral.